AUACAUAGGGUGCGAGCGUUGUCCGGAAUUACUGGGCGUAAAGAGCUCGUAGGUGGUUUGUCGCGUCGUCUGUGAAAUUCCGGGGCUUAACUCCGGGCGUGCAGGCGAUACGGGCAUAACUUGAGUACUGUAGGGGAGACUGGAAUUCCUGGUGUAGCGGUGAAAUGCGCAGAUAUCAGGAGGAACACCGGUGGCGAAGGCGGGUCUCUGGGCAGUAACUGACGCUGAGGAGCGAAAGCAUGGGUAGCGAACGGGAUUAGAUACCCUGGUAGUCCAUGCCGUAAACGGUGGGCGCUAGGUGUAGGGGUCUUCCACGACUUCUGUGCCGUAGCUAACGCAUUAAGCGCCCCGCCUGGGGAGUACGGCCGCAAGGCUAAAACUCAAAGGAAUUGACGGGG
RNAcentral lists this ribosomal RNA (398 nucleotides) under uncultured bacterium. RNAcentral describes it as "partial 16S ribosomal RNA". It matches the Rfam family "Bacterial small subunit ribosomal RNA", at positions 523 to 918 of the family's 1533-position model. The record is from RNAcentral.